GGGGGCGACCAGGCUUCGACGGGGGUCGUGAAAUCGGAGGUGCGUGUCGAGGGGGCAGCUUUCCUCGUAAAUCCAGCGGCAAAACAGCUAGUUGCGAACGACGACAACUACGCACUGGCCGCCUAAAUAGGCCAGUCCGUCCCCCAUCGGUGCCUGUAACGGCGGAUCGGACGGUCAUAUUUACAGGAUCGCUACGGCAUGGCUGUCUGUCAGCGUCGAGCUAAAAGGAACAGACUGGUUCGGUGGCGUUCUUUGUGCGCCGUGUUUCCAUCGAACAAGAUCAAACGGCGUACUACACACGUAGAUCCAAAGACGUAAUGCCUUCGGACGGGGGUUCGAUUCCCCCCGCCUCCACCA
RNAcentral lists this transfer-messenger RNA (357 nucleotides) under Lysobacteraceae. RNAcentral's name for it is "Aquimonas sp002068275 Standard tmRNA". It matches the Rfam family "transfer-messenger RNA". Rfam says of the family: Bacterial tmRNA, also known as 10Sa RNA or SsrA, is named for its dual tRNA and mRNA-like properties. Its role is to liberate the mRNA from a stalled ribosome. To accomplish this part of the tmRNA is used as a reading frame that ends in a translation stop signal. RNAcentral also lists the same sequence under 3 other names. The record is from RNAcentral. Lineage: Bacteria; Pseudomonadati; Pseudomonadota; Gammaproteobacteria; Lysobacterales.